GGGAAACUAGAGCUGGGCUUGGGGCGAGAGCCACCCCAAGUCCAGGGCCAAGAAGGCUCC
This is a non-coding RNA of Erinaceus europaeus (western European hedgehog), 60 nucleotides long. Lineage: Eukaryota; Metazoa; Chordata; Mammalia; Eulipotyphla; Erinaceidae. The record is from Rfam.